GUUUUGUUGAUGUUAUAAACUCUUCAUUGAUGGAAACUUGAGUGCAAAACUGUUCAUGACAUCUGCAGUCCUAAAGUUAGCAAGUCAACUGUAGUCCUCAGCUAUAAAAGCAUUACUGUAAGUGUCCAGAGCGUCUUCCAGGUGUGACUUUCAACUGUCCACAUGGGGCCGUCCUCCACAGGAGCGAUGUGAUGAGACUCCAACCAGACGUAGGGCACUUACAAAUGUAUACUGUAGGAACAGUAUACAUUUUGCGCUGAUUGCAAGCAGGGACUCCGGCAAAACUAACUGUGACAGCAGUUAGCAUUAAACUGCACAAUAUACAAGUGCAUGCUAUACUAGACUGUAGUAUAAUAUUAUGCUCUAGCGUGACUUCUCGGUCAAUUUGUUUGCAUUUCUCCACAAAAAUUAUGACAAUGCAGUAUUAGAAAAGGAAUCAAAACAAAGUAGUGGCUAUUUUAUUGCCUGUUUAUUUAAAAAAUAUAUUUACCUGCUUAUCUUCCAUCCGUUCGAUGCGUGACACGGUGUGCUGUUGUGCUGCCAGUGUUUUGUAGUGAAACAAAGUCGGGAUCGCGUCUGGCUUCAGUCGACGUUUCUGCCUCGUGUCUCGCUUCUUCCCGGUGAUUUUUUUUCAUCCAAGUCCUGCACAAAUCCACAAUCUUCUGUAAAAUGCUCACUGCACAAUUUGCUGCUUUUUCCAGGAGUAAAGUUUUCUUGCUUUACUUGAUGAAACCACUCGGCCAAACAUCUUGGAUCUAGGACAGAACGAAGAUGACGUGGAAUCCUACGUCACACAGCGCCACCCUCGUUUGCGUCUCCUAAUACAUCCAUGUAUCUGGCUAAUCCAGUAUGGCCGCACCCGGGGAAAUGGCCCAACGGACUGAUGUUACAACUUUAACAUGUUUUUUAAGCUAAAGUCGGGUUAAUUUUUUUGUCUAGAACAUCUUGUAUUAAUGUAUAAUGAUGACAUUUCAUAACCCCGUAAAUUCAAAAUUUCCUGGUUAAUCGCUUUAAAUGACAGUUGUGCUGAGUUACUGGAGCAUCUUGGCUUGGCUAGUUAUCGAUCUAUGACUGGACCAAUGGUAUUGAUUGUGGUAUUACCAUGAAAGUUGAAGCUGUGGAUGCUGAUAUAUUUGAGCAAAGUGUAAACAAGAUUAAAACAGAUUAAAAGACUAAAGAGCCGCUGCAUUGCUCUCUUUUGGUAGAACUUAAUGCUGCAUUCGAUUUAACUCAGAAGUGUGAAGUCUGAACUUAUAAUUAUGCCAUUUUUGAUAAACGCCUUCGUGAAAGUGUGUAUUUUGUUAGUAACAGUCUCACCAACUACAUAGUGAUCAUGAGACUUUCUCAAAUCUGGAUGUCAGUGUUGUAGAUUUAAGUGACUAAUGUAUCUUUGUUGAUUGAUCAGAACUUCUAUAAACUCAUUUAAAGUGGUAAAAUAAUAUUUUAUUUACUGUUGAUACUGUGAGUGGCCAUGUUGACAUGAUGUCACAUGCUGAAUUUGUGGCUGAGGAGACCGUCUAGACUUUCUGUACAGCAUUGUGGCUAACGUAGGAAACUGUUAACAGAAGCAAAACCAGGUCAACAUGUAGAUUAAAUAAGUCUAAACUAAAAAAAAAAGUAAAAAUAAAUCUUGUAGGCUGUUGAAAGUCACAUGUUAAAUUACAAAAAUUAAUUCUCGGUGGAUUUUUUUCCUGUGACAGCACGACCUGUUACAGGUCAACCCACUUACUCUUUACAACAUGUAAUAUAUUUUCAAAAUCCUGUAUGACCUAUAAACAACCAUUACACAAUACUCUAUGAUAUCAUUCAAGCUAUCGCAUUGUAUCACUAGGAAGUGCACAGUGUGAGAUUAAACUCUUUAUUUAUUAUGUUACUCACUAUGCCACAAAUUUGGCGCUGGCACAGAAACGUUAGGAAAUCCUGCUCCAUAAAUUUCUCUAACAAAUUUGACGUUUCAAUCCAAGUCCAUGGAAACCACUAAUCAUCCUUCAUCUAUUGUUUGCUCUCCGGAAUAAGUCUCAGAUGGAUCAGAGCAGAGCUGCUUAGAGAUCAUAUGAGAUGAUGAGCAUGUUUUUUUUUUUUGUGACUCUGGCCUUUCAGCGCAGGUAAACCACAUCACUGAAGAUGGAUGCUUUGUUGUGACGGCACAGGUUAAAGUUAACUUUACAGGCGCCAGGGUGGAAGCUGCAUAGUCGCUCGUGCUCGUGCUGUGGAAGUCACACGUUCGGGCUAGCCUUUCGCUACGCCUUUGCUAGAGUGUGGGAAGAAAUGUUGCUCCCUCCUCCAAAAACCGCAAACACAAGGCUGCCAAGUGCCAAAGACCCAGCAUUAUCACAGACCUUAGUCAGUAAGGUGAGGGUGUGAAAUAGUCAGAGUUGUUCUACUUUGAAUUUUUUUUUCUCGGUAAAUUGAGGACAUGAUCUAAACAAAGUCUGUAUGACUGACUGCACCAUGUGACCGCGCCCUAUAAAAGGAGAGAGAGAGCAGAGGAAGGGAGCUCUCUCCCCAACCAGACGACUGGUGUGCGUGCAUGUGUGUGUGACUGGGAGAGUGGAAACGAUUCACUGAAAAGUACAAAAUAAAGAGUUUUGGAACUCAGUUCUGGUCUGCCGUACUUCUGUGCUCCACCCACCCGCUCAAAUUCUUACAGUGGUGCUGAAACCUGGGAGAUCGCAGCACAGAGGAGAACAGCCCCAUGGAGUCCUCCCCUUCGUGGACCUGAUCCAUGCCCUCGCCACGGCCCAACAGAACCAGCACCAGGCGCUAGUCACCCUCCGGAAGGAGCAGGAGCAAAGGUUCGAGGCCCUGGUGCUGGCGCAGCAGGAAGAUUGUCAGGUGUUCCAGCACCUCCUCGCGGCAGCGGGGUCCACCACCUCCACCACUGUGGGCCCUCCCCACCUCACCCUAAUGAAGAUGGACCCGCACAACAACCUGGAGGCCUUCGUCGCACUCUUUGAGCAAGCAGCAGAGGCCUGGGGCUGGCCGGUGGAACAGUGCGCGGUGCGCCUCCUCCCCCUGCUAACGGGCGAAGCGCAGCUGACCGGUGCUACAGCUCCCUGCCGACAGCCGGCUGGUCUACGCAGACCUCCGCUGGGCCGUCCUCCAGCAUGUGGGGUGCACCCCGGAACAACAAAGACAGCACUUCCGCGCUCUGCGCCUAGAGGAGGUCGGCCGGCCGUUCACGUUUGGCCAGCAACUCCGGGAUGCCUGCCGGCAGUGGCUGAGGGCUGACAACCGCGACACCGAGGAAAUCAUCGAUCUGGUGCUACUGGAGCAGUUCAUCGCCUGACUUCCCGAAGGGACCGCGGAGUGGGUCCAGUGCCAUUGCGCCGGCAUCGAGCUGGCAGAGGACCAUUUGGCAGCUGUUCCGAUGGCAGGACAGCAUAUCUCCUCUUCUCCCCUCUCCUUUCUCUCUCUCUCUCUCUCUCUCUCUCUCUCUCCCCCCCUCCCCUUCUGUUUCUCGUCCUCGCCCCGUCCCCCCACCGCAGAGGCGGGGGCCAGCUCCACCCCAGCUGGCCUGCCGCACCCAUGGUGCCCUCCUGUUUCCCAUUUCCGUGUCUGUCUCUCCUCCCCCUCAGGUGAGUGAGCCCCAGAACGCCGGUGCAGAGAGAGAGCCCGGGCUGGUUUGCUGGCGCUGCGGGGAGCCGGGGCACCUCCAGCAUCAGUGCUUGGCAAUGAAGGUGGGCGCAGUGGUCUGGAUCCCCGACGCGCCAGGGACCGCCCUCGAUCGGGCCGGAGCGUAUCGCAUACCGACGGACGCGUUGGACAGGGGGAUGGAGGCCGUUCUGUCCCAGGAGGUCGAGGGGGAGGAUCGCCCAGUGCUGUAUAGACCCUUUUCAGUCACGUGACCUUCGUAACAGCGACCGCCAUUUUGGACAUGUAGUGGACUUCAGCUCGAAUCGGUUUGAAUGCGAGGAAGGCGACAAACAUAAAAGAAAAAGGAGCGAGAUGCAGAAAACUGU
Neoarius graeffei (lesser salmon catfish) is the source of this 3962-nucleotide long non-coding RNA. RefSeq lists it as uncharacterized. The record is from RefSeq and is a predicted model, not a curated record. The transcript is spliced from 3 exons. Lineage: Eukaryota; Metazoa; Chordata; Actinopteri; Siluriformes; Ariidae.